RNAcentral lists this transfer RNA (72 nucleotides) under Camelus bactrianus (Bactrian camel). It matches the Rfam family "tRNA". Rfam says of the family: Transfer RNA (tRNA) molecules are approximately 80 nucleotides in length. Their secondary structure includes four short double-helical elements and three loops (D, anti-codon, and T loops). Lineage: Eukaryota; Metazoa; Chordata; Mammalia; Artiodactyla; Camelidae. RNAcentral also lists the same sequence under 2 other names. The record is from Rfam by way of RNAcentral.
AAGGGUAUAGCUCAGCAGUAGAGCGUGUGCUUAGCAUGCAUGAGGUCCUGGGUUCAAUCCCCAGUACCUCCA